GAGUUUGAUCAUGGCUCAGGACGAACGCUGGCGGCACGCCUAACACAUGCAAGUCGAACGGAGAUAUUUUGGUUUACUGAGAUAUCUUAGUGGCGGACGGGUGAGUAACACGUGAGCAACCUGCCUCUGAGAGAGGGAUAGCUUCUGGAAACGGAUGGUAAUACCUCAUAACAUAACGAAGCCGCAUGACUUUGUUAUCAAAGAUUUAUCACUCAGAGAUGGGCUCGCGUCUGAUUAGAUAGUUGGUGAGGUAACGGCUCACCAAGUCGACGAUCAGUAGCCGGACUGAGAGGUUGAACGGCCACAUUGGGACUGAGACACGGCCCAGACUCCUACGGGAGGCAGCAGUGGGGAAUAUUGCACAAUGGGGGAAACCCUGAUGCAGCGAUGCCGCGUGGAGGAAGAAGGUUUUCGGAUUGUAAACUCCUGUCUUAAAGGACGAUAAUGACGGUWCUUAGAAGA
Molecule: ribosomal RNA, 462 nt
Filed under: uncultured Bacillota bacterium
Lineage: Bacteria; Bacillati; Bacillota
Description: bacterial SSU rRNA
Source: RNAcentral